AAACGGUGGCUCUGGAUGUGUUUUGUUUCUUUGAUGCUAUGAUCCUGCUUUUAGCGACAACCGGCAGAAUAAUGGAAAUACCAUUGCAGUGUUUAUUCUGAAGGGUGUCCCCUUCCUCCCUCGCCGCUCCAUGUGCGUCCCUCCCAAAGCUGCGCGCUCGGUCGAAGAGCACGACCUUCCCCGAUAGAGACGUACCGUUCAUCGGUCAAGGGUAUAUGGUAGCUGCACUCUCCUGCUAGAACCUCCAAACAAGCUUAAGGUCCAUCUGUAGGAGAACAUAGGGUAGUCAAGCUUCCAAGACUGCAGACACAUCCAAGUGAGGCACUGCACGGUUUUUUCUU
This 341-nucleotide small nuclear RNA is filed under the name Egretta garzetta (little egret). RNAcentral's name for it is "7SK RNA". It matches the Rfam family "7SK RNA". Rfam says of the family: 7SK was discovered as an abundant small nuclear RNA in the mid-70s but a possible function has only recently been suggested. Two independent studies have found that 7SK RNA binds the CDK9/cyclin T complex (known as elongation factor P-TEFb). The record is from Rfam by way of RNAcentral. Lineage: Eukaryota; Metazoa; Chordata; Aves; Pelecaniformes; Ardeidae.